UGGUUCUGGCAUCGAUGAAGAACGCAGCGAAAUGCGAUAAGUAAUGUGAAUUGCAGAAUUUUGUGAAUCAUCGAAUCUUUGAACGCACAUUGCGCCUUUUGGUAUUCCGAGAGGCAUGCUUGUUCGAGCGUCGUUUAUAUAUCUAUUGAUUGAUUUUUUUAAUUAAAAAUUAAAUCAAUGAGUUGGAGUUUAUUUCUAACAAAAUAUCUCCAAAAAAGAUUGAUAGCGAUCUGAAGGAUUUAUAUUGCAACGCAUUAAAGUUUUACUACUACGUUGACGAGAAAAUCCUUGGAUUUGCCAAAUUUUUAAAAAUAUAAAUUUUUAAUUCUUAAAAAUUUCUCCAAAUAUCGACCUCGGAUCAAGCAAGAUUACCCGCUGA
RNAcentral lists this unclassified non-coding RNA (379 nucleotides) under uncultured fungus. RNAcentral's name for it is "partial contains 5.8S ribosomal RNA and internal transcribed spacer 2". The stretch from base 1 to 133 matches the Rfam family "5.8S ribosomal RNA", at positions 22 to 154 of the family's 154-position model. The record is from RNAcentral. Lineage: Eukaryota; Fungi.